UACGGAGGGGGCUAGCGUUGUUCGGAAUUACUGGGCGUAAAGCGCACGUAGGCGGCUUUGUAAGUUAGAGGUGAAAGCCCGGGGCUCAACCCCGGAAUUGCCUUUAAGACUGCAUCGCUUGAAUCCAGGAGAGGUGAGUGGAAUUCCGAGUGUAGAGGUGAAAUUCGUAGAUAUUCGGAAGAACACCAGUGGCGAAGGCGGCUCACUGGACUGGUAUUGACGCUGAGGUGCGAAAGCGUGGGGAGCAAACAGGAUUGAGAA
This 261-nucleotide ribosomal RNA is filed under the name uncultured bacterium. RNAcentral's name for it is "partial 16S ribosomal RNA". It matches the Rfam family "Bacterial small subunit ribosomal RNA", at positions 524 to 784 of the family's 1533-position model. The record is from RNAcentral.